GACGAACCGUGCGAACGUUGUUCGGAAUCACUGGGCUUAAAGGGCGCGUAGGCGGGCGAUCAAGUCAGAGGUGAAAUCCUGCGGCUCAACCGUAGAAGAGCCCCUGAUACUGGUGGCCUCGAGGGAGAUAGGGGCAUGUGGAACUUCCGGUGGAGCGGUGAAAUGCGUAGAUAUCGGAAGGAACGCCGGUGGCGAAAGCGACGUGCUGGAUCUCUUCUGACGCUGAGGCGCGAAAGCUAGGGGAGCAAACGGG
This 253-nucleotide ribosomal RNA is filed under the name uncultured bacterium. RNAcentral describes it as "partial 16S ribosomal RNA". It matches the Rfam family "Bacterial small subunit ribosomal RNA", at positions 524 to 776 of the family's 1533-position model. The record is from RNAcentral.